This 1004-nucleotide small RNA is filed under the name Pan troglodytes (chimpanzee). RNAcentral describes it as "retained intron". Lineage: Eukaryota; Metazoa; Chordata; Mammalia; Primates; Hominidae. The record is from RNAcentral.
UGUCUUCAGAGUUGGAGCUCCUAAUUGGCCCUUUUUUAUUUUUUUUUUUACGUUAUACCCCUUUGGUUACAUUUUUCCCUUUUUAGGAGCUCAAUUUAUCAAAGCACACACUAGGAGCCAAAUAUAUUACCCAGGGCUGUGUGCAGAGUGACAUUUUGUCUCCUACCAACUGUCCCAACCCUAAACACUCAUAUCCAUGAGCUGGUUUAAUAACUUAAGAUGGAAAAAGCAAAGGGGGUCUAAAGGACUCUGCCAGCUAAGAAUCCAGAAGCAAGGGCUACUAGAAUUCUGCAGCUGACAGUGGAUGGUGCAGGUGCAGAAUUGCAUACGUCUGCAUGUUAUCACUGCCGCAGAAAUCUCUUACCCUUGCUGCAGAAAUCAGCCCUGGAGUGCCCCAGAAUUCCAAGGGCCUGGGUAUGGGCCAGUGUAGCUUUGGAACCAAGUAGUGAAGAUUAUCUGAAGGAUAAUUUUUCUAGUCAACCAAAUGUAAGUACAGAGAUUUCCUACCCAUCUUUUUUUGUGGUCGUGAUGUCUGUGAAUUGGUGGUGCAGAUGUGUGGUGACUUUUGAUGAAUGACUUUCUUCUUCUCCCAGCCCUCAAGGAAACCAGCAAAUCAAAAGGGUCUCUUGCUUUUUUUUUUCUUUUUGUCCUCCAGCAUCACCAACUUGAAGUACUGGGGCCGUUGUGAACCAAUCACCUCCAAGACACUACAGCUUCUCAAUGACCUCUCCAUUGGGUACAGUAGUGUAAGGAAGCUAGUGAAGCUUAGUGCGGUACAGUUCAUGCUGAACAAUCACACGGUGAGUGAUUUUAGCUUUUUUUCCUGGCCCUCCUACCACCCACACAUACACUUUCUCGAUACAUAAAGGAGAUAUGUAAACUGAGGUCCCGGGUAUUGCUACAGCAAAGACUGUGGUCCUGAUUCCCACAACACUGCCAGAUUAUACUUACGUCAUCAGAGUGGCUCUUUGAGAUCCAGAUGAUCUGAGUUAUGGUGAAGUCAC